AUUGAACGCUGGCGGCGUGCUUUACACAUGCAAGUCGGACGGCAGCAUUGCUUUCGGGCAGAUGGCGAGUGGCGAACGGGUGAGUAAUACAUCGGAACAUACCAUAUAGAAUGGGAUAACUCAUCGAAAGAUGAGCUAAUACCGUAUAAUCUCUGAGGAGGAAAGCUGGGGACUAGCAAUGGCCUGGCGCUAGAUGAAUGGCCGANGGUCGAUUAGCUAGUUGGUGGGUAAAGGNUUACCAAGGCGAUGAUCGAUAGCUGUUCUGAGAGG
Molecule: ribosomal RNA, 270 nt
Filed under: uncultured bacterium
Lineage: Bacteria
Description: partial 16S ribosomal RNA
Rfam family: Bacterial small subunit ribosomal RNA
Source: RNAcentral